CUGCAUUGACCAAGCGAAGCUUCAUCAACUUCAUUCUUCACCACCGAAAAACACACUACUCGAAAUAACACACUACCACAAAGUAGCGAAAUUGCCAUAUGUUACAACAUAUAGCGCCUAAUUAUGAAAAUUUUUUUGCAUUUGUAUUUAAUUGUUUUUAAUAUGACCGAGAUUCCACAUAAAGCAUCAUCGCUAGUAUUUACCUUUUUAUAGAUAACAUGGAAAUCAUAAUCAAGUAAUUGUAAUCUAAUCCGUUUUAGUCUUUCCUGUGCGUGAAGUUUCCGAUUGUCCGAUCUACGAGGACGGUCAAUUUCUUUCUAUGUAUUUUGAAAAAGGUGAUACCAUAUAACAAAUAAUUCUUUUUCAGGGAUUCAUUCAUUUUUUUAUGUGCGUUUAAUGAUCUAGUUACAUAGGAUAUCGGGAAGUCAUUACUUAUUUCUCCUUGAGAGAGGAUAGCAUCAAGAGCUGUUUCGAAAGCAUACGUAGUGACAAUGAAAGAUUUAUGACCGAUAUUGGAGGAUUGCGGUUUCAUUAUUUUUGGGCAGAGAUCGUUAAAUGCUGUUUGGCCUUUGUAUGAAGAGACGCAUUUAAGAUUUUUUUAAUAGCGUUUCAAAGUGGUAGCAAUUUUAUCAAAAUUUUCAAUGAAAGCUCUAUAAUAAUUGCACAAAACUGCAAAGCAUCAUCUAUCGUCGUCUGUGUCUUUGUGGAUAGAAAUUUUUGAUGACUCUGAAGGUAGGUUACAGGAACUGUAAUGUGAUUUGCAAGUAUUUCAGCAAUAUAUCAGAUGAAGCAGAGAUCAACAAGCGUAUGUUGAUGUUUGAUUAAUAGUUGGUUUCUUUAUUUAAAUGAAAGGUUUUAUACAACUCUUAAAGCUGAAAGAAUAACGAUAAAAAUACGAAAAGAAUAAAUGCGAAAGCAAAAAUGUAAACCCGCAUAAUUAGACCCGCUUAAAGAGACAGCUUGACUUGGCGCAUCGAAGCCGAGGUUAGGUAAAACAGUCAACACUCCUCGUCUCGCCUUAGAAGUAUUCACAGGGAAUCCUCCCAAACAAGAAAUAAACGUACGCUGCGUUACAUUAAUGUCUCCACCACAAUGGUGAUUUCUCCACAAUUGAAAUCACCAACACAAUAAGUCACUCCCAAUCUUCAAACACAUUACACUAUUUAAUGCACUUAGACAAUUGCAAGAUGUACGGUAAUCCACAUGGUUAUCUACCAUGUUUUUCUUGGGAAAAAAUAACACGAGCGACGGGAACAAAAGCUACAAAUUGAAUAUUGUCACAUGUGAAAUUAUGCCAGCAGCCUUUUUAGUACUUCGUGCACCUACACUGCACUAAUCAAAACAAACUGAACAAAACUUUGUCAAUAUUGCCAAUGCAAUUAUGUAUAUAGAUAAUAUUCUUAAAAAAGAAAAGGACAUCGAGUACGGGAAGUGCGAAUUUACAUGACUCCUACUUGGAUGAAGAAACGUACCAUCGAUUUUUCAGAGGACUCUAGACGACAUCGUUUGAAAUUACAUUGAGAAGAUAUCCUAAGUCUAUGUAGACGAUAUGAUCAUCUUUGGCAACGACGACGAAACGCAUCCGAAAACAUAGGCAAAAUAUUUCGAAUGCGUUAAUCAGCCAAUGUGAAGGUACAGCUUGCUAAAUGAAUACGCGCAAAUGUGCACAAAGUUGAGGCAAUUAACAACUGCCCAAGCCCAAAAAUGGUGAAGGACUUAAGGUCAUUUCUACACAUAUCAGAUCUUUAGCGCCGCUUUAUCAGUGACUAUGCUAAACUAGCAAAGCCCUUAGCAGGUUUUUCAAAAGAGGAAGGAGGACGAAUGCAAAAACAAUCUUCACCAAGGUAUCAAUAAAACUGGAUGACAAAACAUUAGAGGCGAUUGAUAAAAUAAAGAAAAGAUUAACAUCAGAAAAUGUCAUGCUAGCAUACCCCAACUUCCAAAGGGAAUUUGAUCUGACGACAGCUGCCUCAAAAUACAAAAUGGCAGCUGUGUUAGAACAGGGUGGUAGAGCAAUAACAUUCACCUCCAGAACUUUAAGUAAGCCUGAAAAACAUAAUCUCACAAACGAUAAAGAGAUAUUCGCUAUCAAAUGGACAUUUAAAAGUCUGAGGAACUACAUUUAUGGUGCCGAAAAUCUAAAGAUUUUCACGGACGAUUAGUCUCUGACACGCACUUUAACCACUGGAAAUAUAAACAACAAAAUUAGACGGUGGAAAGCGACGUUAGAAGAAUAUAACCACGAACUGCACUAUAAACAUGGAAGGAGUAACACAGUGGCCGACACGCUGUUCAGACCUCCACAAGGGAUACUAGGAAUAUGACCUGCAGGCGCAACACAACACAGUAAGGAAGCUUCCCCGCGAAGCCUGAUUUAACAUACAAAUGCUCCAAAAAUUCGAUUGAAGGAUCAACUCAUCAUAGAGCCAAGCCAAAUCACAUCAGAUGAAUCAUUUUCCUAACGUACCAUACGCACAUUAUAUUAGAAGCAUUUCUGAAUGCAAUGAGAUUGGAAGAAAUCGACAAGAAAUGUCUAAAUCAAUCAGUCAUAAACCGCAUAAAAACGACUGACCAAAUACUGCGAAAAAUACAAGAGUUAUAUUCCACAAGAAUUCACAAGUUAAAGGCGCUCCAAACACGGAGCAUGGUCAGUGGCGUUAACCAAAACUCAUGGCAGGAACUGGAAAUGAUAAACGAAUAUAACAUAGAAAUGCCGAAGAUUGGAGAAAUCUGCGAUAUUAAAUUUCGCAAACAUAUUGUUCGUGGCAUAUUUGUUAAAAUGGAUUAUGCCAGUUGAUGAUAAGAAGAAUAUACUCAGUAGAGUGAUGAUUUUUAUGAUUUGUUGCUCCUUCGCGCUUUACCAAUGAUGGCCACAGUAUGUGAUAAAAAUAUUGAUGAUACACAAUUCAUUGCAAACUUUGGUAAACUAAGAUUAAUAAUUAGCCAAUUGGAGUGAAAAACAAAAAUUAAAACAAUUAGUUUACUUAACCUUCACAAAUCUACAAGAUUUUGUUUGGGUUCAGCUGUUUAUACAACACAACGCUAACGCAAAACGUGAGCAAUUUUGCUUAUGCCAGUUUUGACACUUUUGAGAAGGCGUUUUUCACACCUAUUGUGCAUACAUAUAGCUAAAAAUCGAAACUCGAAAAUGAAACCAAUUUAAUGCUAUACAUAAUCAAUGCCCUGAUGCUGUAACCAUAUAUGUUGCUGACUGAUGCCAAUGUGCUCUCUGAGAUACGGCAAAUCGAGAGACAAUGAUAUUUUUGUCGCUUGUAUUGGGCGUAAACCAAGAAACCAAGAAAAAUUACCACA
This is a long non-coding RNA of Glossina fuscipes, 3312 nucleotides long. RefSeq lists it as uncharacterized. NCBI's taxonomy places the organism in Eukaryota, Metazoa, Arthropoda, Insecta, Diptera, Glossinidae. The record is from RefSeq and is a predicted model, not a curated record. The transcript has 4 exons.